UGAGAGAUGACCAAUAGUCCUUACGUGUGGAAUUUGUGGAAGAAAAUAAAAACAAGCAAAAUGUAGUGUUGGAGUCAAGAUUAUCAAAUGUAUAUUCUCAUUAGAGAAAAUCUAACAAAAUCACUCAAUUCAUAAUACAGCAACCUCCAGACCUGAAUGAGUUUGAUGAGAAAGCAUGGGAAGAAAUGCCAGAUCACUGUGCUCCCUGUGUUGAGACUGAAACAAGAAGGCCUGAAGCAGGGGAACAUGGCUGUGUAACGGGGGCAGAAACACCUGAACCUCCAGGCUAA
This 290-nucleotide long non-coding RNA is filed under the name Sus scrofa (pig). RNAcentral describes it as "lncRNA (ENSSSCG00065047549.1)". Lineage: Eukaryota; Metazoa; Chordata; Mammalia; Artiodactyla; Suidae. The record is from RNAcentral.